RNAcentral lists this transfer RNA (81 nucleotides) under Muribaculaceae bacterium. RNAcentral describes it as "tRNA-OTHER". It matches the Rfam family "tRNA". From Rfam's summary of the family: Transfer RNA (tRNA) molecules are approximately 80 nucleotides in length. Their secondary structure includes four short double-helical elements and three loops (D, anti-codon, and T loops). The record is from RNAcentral. Lineage: Bacteria; Pseudomonadati; Bacteroidota; Bacteroidia; Bacteroidales; Muribaculaceae.
UGCCGGAUAGCUUAACGGUAGAGCAGACGGAGCCUGAGAAACUCCGUAAAGACGAGGGUUCGAACCCCUCUCCGGCAACCA